UUCCUGCGCAGACAGUUUCCGGGCAAAGUUUGACAUCAUCGUCUCAACCAGUUAUGCCGGGAAACGCAAUAUCUCCAACAUGGCCAUUAUCGACGUCAAGAUGCUCUCUGGCUUCGUACCUGUCAGUUCAUCCCUGCAAAAGCUUCGUGAGGAUCAGAAAGUGAUG
Molecule: non-coding RNA, 166 nt
Organism: Chrysemys picta bellii (western painted turtle)
Lineage: Eukaryota; Metazoa; Chordata; Testudines; Emydidae
Source: RefSeq, a predicted model, not a curated record